CUUUUUCUGGAGGUUCCUCCUGGUGGAGUUUUCUACUGUGAGCCUAGGAUGUGGGCUUAUCUUCAUGAUGCUUUAAAAUGUUUCUUUCUGUCUACUGAUGGAAGGGUUCUGGGCAAAAUGGUUUCAUGUCCAAUUUAUUGUAAAAUAAAACAUAUGGGAAAAGGAUUAUGCCUGUCACACGCUGCCAAGCUGAUUUUAUACAGCAACAGCUCUACAGGGAAAGUUUCACUUCCAGUUCUCCCGGGAAGCCAAUCUGAGACCGAGAGCCAGAAAGCCUGGGUUGCACUCCCCACAUCUGCAAGGCAUUUAACCUCCGGUUCCUCUUCUUCAUCUUCCAUGCAGCAACCUUCUAGGGCAGGAGGUAUGGAGAGAAGUGCUUUCUUUCAUGGAGCCCUGCACAAGAGUUGUUCCAACUUAAGUGGGAGAGCUUGACUUCAAGAAAAUGAUGUCAUAUCUUGUCCAUUUAAUUUGCACCUUGAUUUGCACAGGUUGUAUUAAUUUCCCCAGCUCUCCCCUGGCUAAUUUCUUUUUUUCCACAGUGGCAUAAUACACUGGCAACAUAAUUUCUCAAAUCCACUGUUACCUUGAAAACCUGGAUAUUUCCAUUCAGUUCUAGGGGAUCCUCGCAGAAGACCUACUGAGACCAUUUUAAGUGACAUUACUUCCUAGUAAAUUCAAUUAUUUAAACUUUAAAAGUAAAUGGAAGAUUAAUAUUGCAUGUUGUCCUUUCACUUGAAAUCGUUACUGUCUUAUGUUUUAUGAACUGAGAGUGCUACAGAAGCAGCUGAUUUCUGUCUCCAUGGGGAAGAGCCAUGCUUAUAAUUGACAGUGUUAUACAUGGGAUCAGGUUGCUGGUACAAUUCUUGUCAUUUUAAUUUGAUCUGCCAUGAUAGGGCUCAUAGCCUGAUUGGCAUUUCUGAAUACUUCUGUAAUAUGAAUAAUAAUUAUAAAAACUCAGACAAAGAAUCAUAUUCCAGUAUCUUUUUUGAAAGAGUUAUCUCUGGUUCUGUCAGUUCAUUUGGAGGAAUUUCUUAGAAAAGUAAACACCAAAGAGAUGUGAACAUAGUAAAAAAUAAAUACAUGUAUAAUCGUGUAAGUAUUCAGAUGGAUAUUUGUAGGAAGCACGUUACAAUUUCAUUCAGCUUUACAAACAGGAUUACAUGAGUAAUCUUCAAGUAAUAUAAGGAUAAAUCAUUCUGGAAGAAGCCCCCGAUGUUUUAGGUAUCAGCAAGCUUUCACUUGCUAGCAGGCACACAUGUGCUUCUGGCCCACCUCUUUUGCAGCAGACAGAAUAGGAGGAAAAUCCCAAUCUUUCUUUAGGCCCAAAUUUGCUAUAAUCCUGAUGAAUAUGCAUUUUAGAUGUAAUUCCAGAAUGUGCUCAGAU
Lagopus muta (rock ptarmigan) is the source of this 1384-nucleotide long non-coding RNA. RefSeq lists it as uncharacterized. The record is from RefSeq and is a predicted model, not a curated record. NCBI's taxonomy places the organism in Eukaryota, Metazoa, Chordata, Aves, Galliformes, Phasianidae. The transcript has 4 exons.